RNAcentral lists this ribosomal RNA (794 nucleotides) under uncultured bacterium. RNAcentral's name for it is "bacterial SSU rRNA". It matches the Rfam family "Bacterial small subunit ribosomal RNA", at positions 8 to 796 of the family's 1533-position model. The record is from RNAcentral.
AGAGUUUGAUCAUGGCUCAGAACGAACGCUGGCGGCGUGGCUUAGGCAUGCAAGUCGAACGAGAAAGCAUCCUUCGGGGUGCGAGUAAGGUGGCGAAAGGGUGAGUAACACAUAGAUUACGUACCCUCGGCACGGGGAUAGCUCACCGAAAGGUGGGGUAAUACCCGAUAACGUCUACGGACCAAACGGUGGGGAUCGCAAGACCUGCCGGCAGAGGAGCGGUCUAUGUCCUAUCAGCUAGUUGGUGAGGUAACGGCUCACCAAGGCGAUGACGGGUACGGGGCCUGAGAGGGUGUUCCCGCACACUGGGACUGAGACACUGCCCAGACUCCUACGGGGGGCUGCAGUCGAGAAUCUUCGGCAAUGGACGAAAGUCUGACCGAGCGACGCCGCGUGGAUGAAGAAGGCCUUCGGGUUGUAAAAUCCUUUCGGCUACUAGGAAUAAGGUGUGGUUAAUACCCACACUGAUGACCCUGUAGCGGAAGAAGCUCCGGCUAAACACGUGCCAGCAGCCGCGGUAAUACGUGUGGAGCAAGCGUUGUUCGGAAUUAUUGGGCAUAAAGGGCACGUAGGCGGAGUGCUAUGUCUGGGGUGAAAUCCCUCGGCUUAACCGAGGAAUUGCCCUGGAAACUGGCAUUCUAGAGUGGAACAGGGGUGAGUGGAACUCUGGGUGUAGCGGUGAAAUGCGUAGAUAUCCAGGGGAACGCCGGUGGCGAAAGCGGCUCACUGGGUUCUAACUGACGCUGAGGUGCGAAAGCGUGGGGAGCAAACAGGAUUAGAUACCCUAGUAGUCC